GGCAUGGUGGUUUAGUGGUUAGCACAUUUGACUCGCACUUCUAAGGUUGUGGGUUUGAUUCCCUUCUCUGUGU
Ameiurus melas (black bullhead) is the source of this 73-nucleotide non-coding RNA. The record is from the annotation of a GenBank genome assembly. Lineage: Eukaryota; Metazoa; Chordata; Actinopteri; Siluriformes; Ictaluridae.